GUCUAUGGCCAUGCCACCCUGAACAAGCCUGAUCCCGUCUGUUCUAGGAAGCUAAGCAGGGUCGAGCCUGGUUAAUACUUGGAUGGGAGACCACCUAGGAAGACCAGAUGAUGUAGGCA
This 119-nucleotide ribosomal RNA is filed under the name Pteropus alecto (black flying fox). The record is from RNAcentral. Lineage: Eukaryota; Metazoa; Chordata; Mammalia; Chiroptera; Pteropodidae.